Molecule: long non-coding RNA, 1466 nt
Filed under: Homo sapiens (human)
Lineage: Eukaryota; Metazoa; Chordata; Mammalia; Primates; Hominidae
Description: HSALNT0396490
Source: RNAcentral
CCCGACGUGGCCUCGGACGCCUGGCGCAGGGUCCCCUGAGGCUCUCGUGUAGAGCCCGCCCUCUGGCCACCUAGCACAGAAGCGGAUGUGAACUUGGACCAUCAAGGCUGAAGGACUCCUGGAUAAUUCUCUAUCCCCUUACUCCCCACUAAUCCCCUGCAGACGACACGGAGAGGGCAGAUUCGCUGGAGGUCACUCUGAACUGCCCUCUCCAUCUCGAGGUGGUGUGAAGACAUGGAAAUAAGGGGCGGAAUCCUACUGAAACGCGCUGCGUGGUUUUCUGAGUGUCUGACCUCUCUGCGUCCCAGCUUUCCCCGCCACGGUGGACGUGACAGUGCCCACUUAGCAGAUAAGAAAACUGAGCCUAUGGUGGAGAAUAUUCCUUGGUGGAAGGACCCAGGGCUGAGUUUGAAUCCCUGCUCUUUUUAACGUAAGUAAUGGCCAGUAACAGCCACAGGACCUUCAGCAAAUAACACAAGCUCCCCACUUCAGUUUCCCGGCUGUCUCCUAGGGCUGAUGUGAGCAUUGAUGAAAUGGAAGCAAAACACUUACAAUGGCUUCGUCCACAGUAAGCACUCAUGGAAGGCUGGUGAUGAUAUAUUGUUCUUCUCUGGGCCUGUUUCCCUCUCUGUAAAUAGCGCUUCAUGGACACAGACCAACUAUGGGCGUGGCUUGCCACACCAAGAGGGAGAUAUCUACGCCGAGGAGCGCCCACUCCCAGUGCCCACCUGCCAGGCCCUGGGAGGGGGAGGUAACAAAGCUCCUGGAAGGUCCCACAGUGCCUCCAGGGACAGAGCCAACUAAGGCAAAGGUCAGGCUCUGGCCCAGCCUGGGGCUGCCUCUCUAGCUUCUGCUCGUUCUUUAGCAGGCUGGCGCCAGCCAACCUCCCUACCGCCUUCCAGCAAUGGCAGGCAAAGCACCUUGGCAAUAGCAAUGGACACCCCCACCAUGGGCACUCAUGUAAGCCCAGCUAGGGUGCCCAGGAUCUCGGCUCUUCUGCUUUGGCUGGCCAGCCCUGGACAGGACACUGCCUCUUCGCCCUCCAGUCUCCUCUACCUCUUGGGGAUCCCAGGAAUCAUCUGUGAGCCAGGCCCUGGCACAGCGUCCAGGCCUAAUCACCUGAGGCCCAAAGGCCUUUUGCCCAAGGAGCCCAAGCCCAUCCCUGGCUGGAGGGAGACAUCCUGAACACAGCAGUGACAACAACCAAGCCUGGCUGGGGUCAGAGUGGCCUCAUUCACCUCCCAAGGCUCAGAUAAGUCAGGCCACUUCACCAAGAGCCUACAGUAGCAGAGGCGUGGCCUGAACACACUCGCACCAUCCUUGCAGCAGGCUCCACCUCAGCCCAGGUCUCGAUGUCAUCAAGGAGGACAGCAAAAGCUACUUAAGAGAAGGCCAGGGCCGGGUGCGGUGGCUCACGCCUGUAAUCCUAGCACUUUGGGAGGCCGAGGCGGGCGGAUCACGAGGUC